This is a non-coding RNA of Mycena sp. CBHHK59/15, 85 nucleotides long. The record is from the annotation of a GenBank genome assembly. NCBI's taxonomy places the organism in Eukaryota, Fungi, Basidiomycota, Agaricomycetes, Agaricales, Mycenaceae.
GGGCGUGUAGUAUAGUUGGUUAUUGCGCCCGCUUCGCACUUGUUGGGAUUGCGGGAGGUCUGGAGUUCGAAUCUCCACUCGUCCA